Molecule: ribosomal RNA, 529 nt
Filed under: uncultured bacterium
Lineage: Bacteria
Description: partial 16S ribosomal RNA
Rfam family: Bacterial small subunit ribosomal RNA
Source: RNAcentral
UGGGGAAUAUUGCACAAUGGGCGAAAGCCUGAUGCAGCAACGCCGCGUGAGUGAUGAAGGCCUUCGGGUUGUAAAGCUCUGUCUUUUGGGACGAUAAUGACGGUACCAAAGGAGGAAGCCACGGCUAACUACGUGCCAGCAGCCGCGGUAAUACGUAGGUGGCAAGCGUUGUCCAGAUUUACUGGGCGUAAAGGAUGCGUAGGCGGAUUUUUAAGUGAGAUGUGAAAACCCUAAGCUUAACUUGGGGACUGCAUUUCAUACUGGAAAUCUAGAGUGCGGGAGAGGAGAAUGGAAUUCCUAGUGUAGCGGUGAAAUGCGUAGAGAUUAGGAAGAACACCAGUGGCGAAGGCGAUUCUCUGGACCGUAACUGACGCUGAGGCAUGAAAGCGUGGGUAGCAAACAGGAUUAGAUACCCUGGUAGUCCACGCCGUAAACGAUGAGUACUAGGUGUAGGAGGUAUCGACCCCUUCUGUGCCGCAGUUAACACAAUAAGUACUCCGCCUGGGAAGUACGAUCGCAAGAUUAAAAC